Molecule: unclassified non-coding RNA, 17 nt
Filed under: Mus musculus (house mouse)
Lineage: Eukaryota; Metazoa; Chordata; Mammalia; Rodentia; Muridae
Description: oocyte_clustered_small_RNA10195
Source: RNAcentral
UGGCAACGACUCCUCAG